Cervus elaphus (red deer) is the source of this 73-nucleotide non-coding RNA. Lineage: Eukaryota; Metazoa; Chordata; Mammalia; Artiodactyla; Cervidae. The record is from the annotation of a RefSeq genome assembly.
UCCCUGGUGGUUCAGUGGUUAAGACACCAUAUUUUCACUGCUGAGGGCCCAGGUUCAAUCCCUGGUUGGGGAA